This 129-nucleotide small nuclear RNA is filed under the name Mesocricetus auratus (golden hamster). RNAcentral's name for it is "U1 spliceosomal RNA (ENSMAUG00000003627.1)". It matches the Rfam family "U1 spliceosomal RNA", at positions 1 to 115 of the family's 166-position model. Rfam says of the family: U1 is a small nuclear RNA (snRNA) component of the spliceosome (involved in pre-mRNA splicing). Its 5' end forms complementary base pairs with the 5' splice junction, thus defining the 5' donor site of an intron. There are significant differences in sequence and secondary structure between metazoan and yeast U1 snRNAs, the latter being much longer (568 nucleotides as compared to 164 nucleotides in human). Lineage: Eukaryota; Metazoa; Chordata; Mammalia; Rodentia; Cricetidae. The record is from RNAcentral.
AUGCUUACCUGGCAAGGGAGACACCAUGAUCGAGAAGGUCGUUUUCCCAAGGUGAGGCUUCUCCAUUGCACUUGAAUGUGUUGACUUCUGGGACACUCUCCCCACAAAAGAAAAAAAAUCAAAACAAAC